This is a long non-coding RNA of Mastomys coucha (southern multimammate mouse), 520 nucleotides long. RefSeq lists it as uncharacterized. The record is from RefSeq and is a predicted model, not a curated record. Lineage: Eukaryota; Metazoa; Chordata; Mammalia; Rodentia; Muridae. The transcript has 3 exons.
GGCCCUACCUCAAAGACAAACCUGCUUUUUCACCGAAGAAAAUGGAACUCUAGUUAAAGGAGGUUACGUUCUAGACUGAGUCCUUACCCUGUCUGCAUCACCACACCUCCAGGACUACAAGUCAGAGAGAAAAGUUGAUAUAUAUGAAGCCCAUGAUUACCACUGCCAGCCUAUGUUUCAGCUUCCCAAGGGCCUGUAGCCAGCAGUCUACCCAGCCUGGAGGAUAUCCAUACACUGCCUCACACCAAAGGCAUAUGCACAGAGAAGAUAGCCAAGAGCUGGUAACCGGAACUUCUUCCACGAAGUUAUUAAGCUGACCUGGAACAGAAGUUCCUGUUGACAUUGGUCAGGAGACUCAGAGAAUCGCCAUGGGCAUACUGAGUGGAUAGAGGUGCUUCGAGAGUCAGGGAGGGGAGCCAAAUUCCUAGGUUGGAGAGUUCACAGGGCAAUGGCGAUCAAUACAGCACUUUUGAUCUGCACAGCUAGCUACUCAGGUACAAAGCAGCACUACCCUUUGUCC